CAGUAGCCGCGGGAACACGAAGGGUGCAAGCGCUAAUCGGAAUUACUGGGCGUAAAGCGUGCGUAGGCGGUGAGUUAAGUCUGCUGUGAAAUCCCCGGGCUCAACCUGGGAAUGGCAGUGGAUACUGGCUCGCUAGAGUGUGUCAGAGGAUGGUGGAAUUCCCGGUGUAGCGGUGAAAUGCGUAGAGAUCGGGAGGAACAUCAGUGGCGAAGGCGGCCAUCUGGGACAACACUGACGCUGAGGCACGAAAGCGUGGGGAGCAAACAGGAUUAGAUACCCCAGUAGUCCCUGUCUCUUAUAC
Molecule: ribosomal RNA, 301 nt
Filed under: uncultured bacterium
Lineage: Bacteria
Description: partial 16S ribosomal RNA
Rfam family: Bacterial small subunit ribosomal RNA
Source: RNAcentral